This 1329-nucleotide long non-coding RNA is filed under the name Macaca mulatta (Rhesus monkey). Its description in RNAcentral is "lncRNA (ENSMMUG00000057825.1)". The record is from RNAcentral. Lineage: Eukaryota; Metazoa; Chordata; Mammalia; Primates; Cercopithecidae.
GUCCGACCAUACUUUCUCUUGAGAAGUGAGUCAUUAUCAGUGAUUUUAAAACGAGAUAGUAAUUAGGUAUGACCAAAAUUUAACUAAAGAUUUAGAGUAUUUCUUCUUUCUCCCUCUCCCCCACCCCUCCUCUUUUUUUCUCUCCCAUUCCUUUGUUUUCUUUUUUCUUUUUCUUUUUCCCUUUAUUUCUUUGAAAAAAUAUUAAUCAUGUGUGUUAUACAUAGUAGUUAUUGAACAAAUGAAAACAUGUAAAGGAGAAAGAAAUGUGGAUCAGAACUAUUAAGUAUUUUGAGGAAAAUUAUCUUGGGACUCAUCAAAGAUAAUUUAGAAACAGUCAUAAAAAUCAUUUUAAACUCCACUAUUUUCUAUUCAUUUUAUUUAUGAGUUGUUGAAAACCAAAAUCUUACAAUUGGAAUUCAUGUGAAAUUAUCUCAUGGUGUUGUCUCUCUUUCAAAUGCAAAGUUUAUGUGUCCUGUGCGUGUUAAUGCCAAUUUUUCAUCAUCCUACCAUGCUAAAGAAAUUUUCUGUCCUGAAUAUCUUUGUCAUAUUUAGAUAUUUUAGAUAGCUCUUCUGGCCAAGAAUAUGGAUCAUUUACAGCAUGGGGCAAGUUGAUAUAUAUAGCAUCAUGACAGUGAAGCAAAUUCCACAAGGACUGCUAAUGGACAGAGAAAUUUCAUGGAGAAAAGCUAGCAGACAGAGCUGGAAUAAAACAAUGAAAAAGCCCAGAGGGAAGGAAGAUAUCGCAGAGAAGGCAGGACCCUACAAGGCUGUGAAUUGCCUCUCCAAGGUCUGGUGGGAGAAUGCUGUCAGUCACACUGCUUUCCAGAGAUUAAGUCUAUGGUCUCUUUCAUAAUGGCUUGCUCAAUUUAAAAACUGUUACUUGAGAGAAAAACACAGCUAUAACAUAGUACACCCAACCUCAACUGGCUUUUCUACUGUCUCAGGAUCAAAAUGUAACCUGUCUUCACUCUGCUAAUGAAGUAUUUGUAUGAAAAUGCACAGUAUUCAUAAACCCAGUCUAGUACUUACCAGAUUUAUUGAUGGAGGGUUUGCCUGUCCUUCUCAUUUACGAAGGGCAGAAUAUCCUCUUUAUUUCUCUUGAGCUGAAAGCUCCAUUUACCCUUAUAAGACAAGAAAUUAGCUCAAGCUUCAACUGGUGAUUCCUAGCUAAGUUUUUGAAUACAAAAUAAAAAUCAUAAAAUAAUGCCAUAACGGAGCCUCUUCCUCUAGUUCUCAAGUUUUUGCUUGUUUUUAUUUUUAAAGCCUAAUUCAAGAGAGCCAAAAUGCUGCAUUUCCAUGAAUGAAUCUUUGAGCGAUUUAAUUUCCUGC